UUAGGGAGACCUACUUCAGGACAUCGUGCCAUGAUAAUAAUAGCCGAGUCUUGAGGUCAUCCUUAGGUCGGAUGGGGCGGUCAGAGAGCUUUCAAACUUUAGGGUUCGUGUUAUGGGCUAUUAGCUCAGGUGGUUAGAGCGCACCCCUGAUAAGGGUGAGGUCCCUGGUUCAAGUCCAGGAUGGCCCACAUCCACCCCAAACUGGGGGUAUAGCUCAGUUGGUAGAGCGCUGCCUUUGCACGGCAGAAGUCAGCGGUUCGAGUCCGCUUACCUCCACUCUCCUUUAAUUAGGUGCUAGUUGGGGUGAGAUAGGAUUGCCUCGGAAAAUUGAUAUAUGACUGCUGAGCUCCUCCUACUGCUGAUGAUGUUCUUCGACUAGUUAAUUGGUGGUCUGUUCCUCCCAUAACAUUCUUGACUGCUGAGUAAAGAACAUAAUGGUGUAGGAGAACAACGUAGAAACGAUUCUUAUGAU
This 472-nucleotide transfer RNA is filed under the name Arthrospira sp. TJSD. RNAcentral's name for it is "16S-23S ribosomal RNA intergenic spacer". The stretch from base 204 to 276 matches the Rfam family "tRNA". The record is from RNAcentral. Lineage: Bacteria; Bacillati; Cyanobacteriota; Cyanophyceae; Oscillatoriales; Microcoleaceae.